RNAcentral lists this ribosomal RNA (253 nucleotides) under uncultured bacterium. RNAcentral's name for it is "partial 16S ribosomal RNA". It matches the Rfam family "Bacterial small subunit ribosomal RNA", at positions 524 to 776 of the family's 1533-position model. The record is from RNAcentral.
UACGAAGGGGGCUAGCGUUGCUCGGAAUCACUGGGCGUAAAGCGCACGUAGGCGGCUCUUUAAGUCAGGGGUGAAAUCCUGGAGCUCAACUCCAGAACUGCCUUUGAUACUGAGAGUCUUGAGUCCGGGAGAGGUGAGUGGAACUGCGAGUGUAGAGGUGAAAUUCGUAGAUAUUCGCAAGAACACCAGUGGCGAAGGCGGCUCACUGGCCCGGUACUGACGCUGAGGUGCGAAAGCGUGGGGAGCAAACAGG